Lineus longissimus is the source of this 2116-nucleotide long non-coding RNA. RefSeq lists it as uncharacterized. The transcript has 3 exons. The record is from RefSeq and is a predicted model, not a curated record. Lineage: Eukaryota; Metazoa; Nemertea; Pilidiophora; Heteronemertea; Lineidae.
ACCCAUUGGCUAACUAGCGGAUAUUAUCUCAAGUCAAAUCAGAUCAAGUAACGCUGCGUUCAUGAAAAAAACUGCCAAACCCUAGCGGCCAAGUUAGAAAACACAAACACACGUCCGCCAUGCUUUGAAAGACCGUCAGCCAUGUGUAAAACGCGCUCAUAUUAUAUGAUUGAUUACCAACAAUCCGCAGUGUCGCUACCGUUCUCACUCACAGAGCACUGGAUGUGCAGCAUCGAUAUGGUCAUCAGUCGACGUGGUUCACAUAUAUUACAAUAAAUGACCAUUGCACCCUCACGCGAAGGUUGUUAGACAGUUUCUCAAUACGCAUAUUGUUUUAAUGAUAGCAAAACGGAAAAUGUUUUGCCUGUUUAAAACUUGAAAGAAAGCCCGAGCUGAGUGCGCCUGCAAUCAUCACAGGGUGCCACUUUUCAUAUCCCGUUCAUGUUUCUUAUGAAUUCACUUCGCCAAUGUCGUAAAAGGUCAGUUAACGACCACUUUGAAACUGAAAAUGGAACAUGUGGCAAAAAAAUGGUGGCGAUUUUCAAGCAAAACUACAUGGGCAUCCAAGCAAAAUGAGGAUUUCUUUUUCCGAAUGGAUCAAUGCACAACGUGGUAUUCGACUUGGUACACGAGACACGCUGAUUAUGACUGUUAAUCAGAAUCACAGAGUCUUUUCUUGACUACAAACUCGAUGGAUCUGAUCAUGAUAUACGCCUGAUUGGAAAUGCGAGUUACGUUGACUCCGUAGUGUUUGGAAAAGUGCUUCAGUUUAAUGAUAAAAAAGCAUCCGCAAUUCUACCCUAUAUAAAUAUAUUCAAGUUUCAAAAGAUUACUAUUAUAUUUUAUAUGAGAUUCCUUCAAACCAAGCCUCCCUCAAAUAUGUGGAUAGGUUUCUUAAGUAAUGCAAGGAAACUAAGUAUAGGGGAGGCGUGUACAAACUUUGUGAUUGGUGUUUGGCACAAAAGUACAGCUAAACACAGGAGGGCAGAUUUUUUUCACUUUUCGGGAGGUUAUCAUUCUGCUGCCAGUCGUAUAAGUUGGCAGCAUUUUGCUGUCACCAUUGGCUGGAAUAAGUUUUCUCCUAAGUCUCGUGUCGAACUUUAUUGGAAUGGCAAGUUCUUAAGAAGGUCUCCUGUUUUAAGUUAUUAUUAUUCGUCCACGCAGCGCAACAUAUCAUUUUUGGGUCAUUCCAUUCCAAUGAGUCAAAUGUCGAGUUUUAGGAUUUACCCAACUAUCGCGUCAAAAUAUCAUAUCUUGAGGAGCCAAAAAAGAGGUAGGUUUUUCAACAUCCAACUGUCUGGCUGAAUAAGCCUUGAAUAUAUCCAUCUCACAAGAACUGAAAAAUAAACUAGAAGUAGCGCUUUCCUGCAAUUCCAACUCUAACUUCAUCUUUCGAAGUUGAAUUACAAUUAUCUAGUGAUUCCUGAGAUAGAAUUAAAUUCACCACUGUUUUCAUCUUGAUCUUUAUCUUUGCAUGCAUCUUUACAAUAUUAUUUCAAAUUCCAAAGUGCUUCUGUCAUAAAUGUGCAUCCGCCUUUUUUUUUAAAGUCCUUAAUAUCCACGUCGUUGAAAAACUUUAUUUUAGUACAGCACAAUGUACAUCAUUAGUUUGUUCUUCCUGCACCUUCUGGAAUGUUUGAAUUUAGUACUUGCCAUGACUUGAAGAUGGGUAGUUCGAUAUUUAAGCAGUUUUCACAACUGUGUUUGUUAUCUUAUGCAAGUUAAAAAGUGUUACAGGUGACCUUUAAAUAUGAAGUCCACUUGUCUCUUCCGAUCCGAUUAUGAACUUUGCGAUAAUUAUGUUCGACACGGGAACUUGACACUUUUCCAAAGAUUUAGUGUCAACAAGAUGGCCGAAAUAUGAGCCCCAUGGGCACUGAACUUGGCGCAAGACCAACAAAAUGCAAACUCGCCCCAAUUCUGUGACAGGCUCGUAUGUUUACAGUCUAGCUCAUAAUGAUAUCAAUGUCUACUCAAUAUGAUACAUCACAAACUAAUGCGCCUAAUCCAACGCAGUUUUGGUAUACCGACCCGAAUUUGUGUUUUCUUGUAAUAUUCACACACAUGCACUACACCUAAACCAAUGUCACUUUGUGACACAUUUUGUGCUAAAUAA